UAUUGAAGGCCUGAAAUAUGCAUUAUACUUUGCUAUCAUUUGAAAAGGAUAUUUUAUGCAGAAUUCUUAGCAGAACUACAUGUGUAACCACAUAUUGCUAAAAACACGAAAUCUUAAAAUUAGCAAGCUUUAUUUUUAUGUAUUCUAGGAAUUUUGGGAUACAUAUUAAUGGAGUAAUGAACUUAUUUGUUGCAUGCACAGCAUAUUAAAGUGAUUAAUUGCCAAGGUUCACUGUAAAUUGUGACUUUACAAAUAUAUUUUUUUUUCUCUCUUGUAUGUGAAAAAGAAUAAGAGCUGGGGAGCCAAGUGGAAACUGACUUCAGGAUGAUGAUAAUGUGUUUAUUUCCACUGCUCCAUUUUAGACUGCAAGGAUUGAUGUUUAAAAUGUUGCUUAAAUUGUCCUCUGUGGAUUCUGCUGCCCCUCAGAAACUUUUGUGAAAUACAGUUGUGUUGCUUGAAGUGAAGAGAGAAGUACUUCCUGAAGAGAGAGAUGGCUCUUAAGUCUGACUUCCUUAACUAAAUCAAGACUCUGCAUUUUAGCCUGAAGAAUCUGGCAUGUAUUUUAAGAGGACUUUAUGUUGCUAGAGCUUAAGCAUUAUUGCUGUGGUACUUCUCAAAGUUAUCAUUUAAUUUAAAUAUAGUGAUCAGGUUUACUUUAUAAACUGUAUAUAUAAUUACUUUCCAAUGUUUGAUGUAGCAUGGUUGAAAUUAAGUGGUAACAUGAAACUUUCUUAAAGCAAAAUCAAUUUCCCUAUGGUAAAAUUUAAUAUUUUACAAGAGUUUCUGUGCUGAACUUAAGAAUAUGUCUAUGAUGUGUUGAAACAAACAGUAGAAGAGUAGCAUUCACAGGAUCUGAUGAGAAAGCAUAUAUGGUUUCAACUGUAUUCUCCCUCCCCUUACUUUCAGUGUGGUAAAAUGACUAUAUUGAAUCUUAAAUUGUGGUUAGAGUAAAAUUGGAAUUAUAAAUAUUCAGUCUGCGCCAAAUUUAAGUCAUGUUGCAUGUGACUCCUUGAAGGAAGCUCUCUCUUAUUUUCUAGAGAAGCUUGGUGUUUAGUCAGUGGAAAAAACAUACUGACCCCAAAUUCUCUGUUCUGUCAUAUAUUUGUUGACAGUGAUAUGACAGGAUUUUUUCUUCUUCCUCUUUAAAAAUACUGUUAUGAGUUGUUCAUGGAAAUAACAUGAGAGGAGUCAGAGUACUUCAUAGCAAACAAAGGUAAUCGGUAAGCGUGUUGAAGUCUGAUUUCAUUUUCCACAUGUUAUCUCCUUGAUGAAAUGCCCUUUGAUGUCAUACAGACAAGUAAAUAGAAAUGUAGCUUCUGCAUGUUUUUAAUUCUCUCAUGAGUAAAAUAAUUUAUGAGUUUAAAAACAAAAAGAAUCUGAAAUUUUGAAAGUCGAAAAUAUACUUGUCACUUGCCUGAAUAUUUUUUUUCUUACUGCUCAUUUUUUGUGUUUGUGAAACCCAGCCAAGAUCAUUACUGUUACUUAUGGGCCUCUUAGUUAUUAUUUUGUACAAUAACUAUGUGAACUUUGGAAAAAAAAUUUCACAGUAGAAAUUCUAUUCUGGAAUUAAUAGUACUCAAAAUGCUUAGUAGCACAUCCCUGGUUUAGUUUUCAUUUGGAUAUAAAUUUGUUUUUUAUAGAAACAUUAUGUAAGAUUUUAUUCAUAAUGAUUUUGCUUGACUAUAUGAAAUGAAGGAAUGGAAGAUUUAAAGCCUAUUAACAGAUUUUUUACAGCUUUUUUUGUUUUGAUACCGGAUGUUGAACCCAACAAUGCUCAAUCACUGAGCCAUAUCCCAAGCCCUUUUUAUUUUUUAUUUUGAGACAGGGUCUCACUGUUUUCUUAGGACUUUGCUAAGUUAUUAGGCCCUGGGAUUAUAGGGGUAUGCCACCAUGCCCAGCUAAAAUUUUUUCCCCUUAAAAUAUUCAACUAUUCCUUCUACUUGGUCUUUUAGUGUUAUUGUUAGUUUGGGUUUUGACUAGGUAAUAAGAAUGCUUUGUCAAAUGAUCAACCAGUCACUCUGUUAUUCUCUUUAAAAAGUUCUCUUUAAUAGAUUUGCCUCAGGCCAAUCUAGUAUUAUUAUCUUAAAAAUUCAGUAUGUUUAAGCACUGAAGGCAUGCCUGGCACUUAGUAAACACGUAUUUAGAAAGAAUUACUGAAAAAUAAGAGAGAAGUUUGCUUUGUAUAAAAAGUUGUAUCAUCAGAUAACUAUCAGAUGAAGCCAGAGAAUAUGGAAGUAUUGUUUUAUCCUUUAAUUUUCUUCCCAGUUUAUAAUACACUGAAAAAACCAAUGCAGUUGGAAGAAUUUAUAGUUUAUGAACUAUUUUAUAUGCUAUUUUUCCCUAACUAAGUUUUGGUUGUUUGAUCAUAUCUAUUUGCAAUUGGUUCAUCUUGCACUUUUGAACAAGUGUAACAAUUGUUGGUAAAUUAGACGUAAAAUGAGGUGAAGUCUGUAUGGAUUGCUUUGCUUUACCUGCGUUGAGCCUGUCACAUGGUGUUUAUCAUAGCAAAUGUCCCCAAUACAAGCCCUGAUUGGACAAUUGCUUGCCAGCCAUCUGUCUCUUAGUUGUUUUUGUACACACACAUGCAUGUGUGUAAACACACACACACACACAUAUAUACACAAUCAUUAAUUUACAUUGUUGGUGCUAUGGGCUAUUGUCUUGUCAUCUGCACUUAGUUCUUCAGUGCUAAUGUGCCACUGUGGUAACACUGAAUUCUCUGCUGCUAUAAUUCUAAACUAGCUACAACCUUUUGGAUUACAGCAUGAGUUAGGAGCACAGUUUGUCUUCCUAAUCUCUUUGUUGAUGCUUAACACACUAAAAGCACUUGUUUAAAAUGCCCGUGAUGGUGUGACUGUUUAUCAUAAGGCAUUACUUCUAAACCAGGCAGGCACCUUCACAGUAUUAGGAAAGGACAAAGUUUGCCCUAAGGCACACUGAAAAAUCUCUGGUUGACAAACAUACAUUAUUAUAACUUUAUUAUCCUCACGCAAAGUGCUUUUAACAUGCUGACAUUCAUCUUUUAAACUUUCUGGUUCUCUCUUGGGAGCUGGGUGUUAUGUCAACUUUGCAUACUUAUUUUAGUGGCUUUACAAAAGUGACAAAUGUGUCAGUCUUGAAGGAAAGGACCAGUGGGCUUUUUAAAGAUAUAAAUACCUCUAUGAAUAGCUCUCCUUACUUAGGAUAUUAGUUUUUAAAGAAAAAAGUGGAGUGAUAUAUCACUAAAACUGCUUACCUUCAGUUUUUCAUAGGAUGAAAGAGGUAUAAUAAUUUAGUUAUGUCCAGGUAUAAUUAUGUGCAAUGCUAGAUGAUUUCUUUGAAGACUUGAUUUGUAUGUGCUUUUGAGGAAUAAACUUCUACAUUCAGUAGGUCGCUAAUUAUGAAUACUACUCGAUGGGCUGCUUUUAUAUGUGGUGCAUGAUACAGCAGUUGCUCACCCUUGGUAUCAAGCAUGCUGCCAAAUGUUGUCCUGUCUUACCACGCUAGCAGGUAAAGUGUUGGAAUCUGGGACUUUUACAAUAGACCUAUAAAAAUGCUGAGAGGUUGUCCUGUGAUAGAUAGACUUUAACUUAAGUUUAUGUCUUUCUUUUGUUAAUUUUUUUUAAAAAAUAUUUCUUUAGUUGUCAAUAGGCCUUUAUUUAAUUUAUUUUUAUGUGGUGCUGAGAAUCAAAUCCAGUGCCUCAAACAUUCUAGGCAAGUACUCUGCCACUGAGCCACAACUCCAACCUUGUUUUGUUAACUUUUAAUUUCAUAUUCGUGUCUGUGUUCAUGGAUAUUCAUAUUUAAAACUUUUUGUUGGGACUCUGUUACCUUCUUUCUCAGAACAUUGUGUUGUGGCUGUGACAUAUGGUGAAGGGUUUGCCUGGACUUAUUUUUGGUCUGGUUCUGUUGACACUUUAUUCAUAAGUGUGAGAGCUUUGUGAUAUCUCUCCCAAAUGUAGCCUUCCUAGUUGUCCAGGUCGCCUGUUUUCUUUGGACAUCUGCAGUGACUGAACUCUCCUGUUAAUCAGAUUUGCCUUAACUUGACAUAGGGAUUAAGGACUUUUGCCUCAGAGAUUUUUGGCUAUAUUUUCUAGGCCAUGAAUUCCAACAAGUUAUGGCACUAUAAAAUUUCUUUUGAUCACUCUUCCUUUGUUUUUCUCCUUUCCGAGAGCUUAGCUUUUCAAUCAUAUUUGUCAGUUUCCCUGGCAUUCAAAGUUUCUAGAAUAAAAGGUGUUAUUCAUUUCAGUCUUGGAGAAAUUUUUCAGGAUUAUUUCUUUGGUUUAUAACUAUGACCUUUUUGCUUUACAGAUAAAUGGGAAACAAAUAAAUUUAUUAUACAGCAGAAUUUUGAGGAAGCAAGAGCAUUGAACUGUUUAUUUUCAAAAUUGGAUAUUCAAGUUAUUGUCACGUUUUUGGAGGAGUUUAUUUUAUUUAAGGACAUUUCAUAAAUACAGUUAAUUUAUCUAUAAAAGUAUAUGUUAUAUCUAUAUGUAUAUAUCUGGAGAUUGAGCCCAGGGGCGCUUUACUACCAGGCUACAUCCCCAGUCUUUUUUAUUUUUAUUUGAGACAGGGUUUCCUUAAAUUGCUGACUGACUCCCCUGAGUUGCUGAGGCUGGUCUUGAACUUGUGAUCCUCCUGUCUCAGCCUCCCUAGUUGCUGGGAUUAUAGGCAUGUGUGCCUGGCAUACUCCUUUGAAGGUUAUACACAUGCCACAUUUGUUUAACACUAAACUACUGUAUCCAUGUUAGAAGUACUUUAGUGUUUGGCAGAGGAAAUGCUGUUUGCUUAUGAUAAUUUGACAUAGACUUUUGUUUUUUGAUUUCUUCACUGGUGCAUUUUGUGAUAUCAGAGUGAGUCAGGAUAUGAAGCGUGGCAUUGAGUGUAGUUAUAGUCAAGGUAACUGGCUAAAUUACAUGAUUUGUCAAAUGAAACACACAUUAGUGCCCUUGAAAUUGCAGCUCUGUGCUAGGUGUUGUG
This 4959-nucleotide long non-coding RNA is filed under the name Marmota monax (woodchuck). Lineage: Eukaryota; Metazoa; Chordata; Mammalia; Rodentia; Sciuridae. The record is from RNAcentral.